This 1167-nucleotide ribosomal RNA is filed under the name Lysinibacillus fusiformis. Its description in RNAcentral is "bacterial SSU rRNA". It matches the Rfam family "Bacterial small subunit ribosomal RNA", at positions 200 to 1347 of the family's 1533-position model. The record is from RNAcentral. Lineage: Bacteria; Bacillati; Bacillota; Bacilli; Caryophanales; Bacillaceae.
CUGAAAGACGGUUUCGGCUGUCGCUUUAGCUGAUAGGAUGGGCCCGCGGCGAGCUAGUUGGUGAGGUAACGGACCAAGGCGACGAUGCGUAGCCGACCUGAGAGGGUGAUCGGCCACACUGGGACUGAGACACGGGGACUCCCAGACUCCUACGGGAGGCAGCAGGGGAAUCUUCCACAAUGGGCGAAAGCCUGAUGGAGCAACGCCGCGUGAGUGAAGAAGGAUUUCGGUUCGUAUUAGCCAUAAACUCUGUUGUAAGGGAAGCAAGUACAGUAGUAACUGGCUGUACCUUGACGGUACCUUAUUAGAAAGCCACGGCUAACUACGUGCCAGCAGCCGCGGUAAUACGUGGCAAGCGUUGUCCGGAAUUAUUGGGCGUAAAGCGCGCGCAGGUGGUUUCUUAAGUCUGAUGUGAAAGCCCACGGCUCAACCGUGGAGGGUCAUUGGAAACUGGGAGACUUGAGUGCAGAAGAGGAUAGUGGUCCAGUGUAGCGGUGAAAUGCGUAGAGAUUUGGAGGAACACCAGUGGCGAAACUAUCUGGUCUGUAACUGACACUGAGGCGCGAAAGCGUGCAAACAGGAUUAGAUACCCUGGUAGUCCACGCCGUAAACGAUGAGUGCUAAGUGUUAGUCUUAGGGGGUUUCCGCCCCUUAGGUACCGUGCUGCAGCUAAUUAAGCACUCCGCCUGGGGAGUACGGUCGCAAGACUGAAACUCAAAGGAAUUGACGGGGGCCCGCACAAGCGGUGGAGCAUGUGGUUUAAUUCGAAGCAACGCGAAGAACCUUACCAGGUCUUGACAUCCCGUUGACCACUGUAGAGAUAUGGUUUCCCCUUCGGGGGCAACGGUGGACUUGACAGGUGGUGCUGUCGUCCCAGUCCAGCUCGUGUCGUGAGAUGUUGGGUUAAGUCCCGCAACGAGCGCAACCCUUGAUCUUAGUUGCCAUCAUUUAGUUGGGCACUCUAAGGUGACUGCCGGUGACAAACCGGAGGAAGGUGGGGAUGACGUCAAAUCAUCAUGCCCCUUAUUGGGCUACACACGUGCUACAAUGGACGAUACAAACGGUUGCCAAUUGAUCCUCGCGAGAGGGAGCUAAUCCGAUAAAGUCGUUCUCAGUUCGGAUGGCUGCAACUCGCCUACAUGAAGCCGGAAUCGCUAGUACCAGUCA